Molecule: ribosomal RNA, 791 nt
Filed under: Acinetobacter sp.
Lineage: Bacteria; Pseudomonadati; Pseudomonadota; Gammaproteobacteria; Moraxellales; Moraxellaceae
Description: bacterial SSU rRNA
Rfam family: Bacterial small subunit ribosomal RNA
Source: RNAcentral
GGAGCGAGGGUGCUUGCACCUUAGCUUAGCGGCGGACGGGUGAGUAAUGCUUAGGAAUCUGCCUAUUAGUGGGGGACAACAUUCCGAAAGGAAUGCUAAUACCGCAUACGCCCUACGGGGGAAAGCAGGGGAUCUUCGGACCUUGCGCUAAUAGAUGAGCCUAAGUCGGAUUAGCUAGUUGGUGGGGUAAAGGCCUACCAAGGCGACGAUCUGUAGCGGGUCUGAGAGGAUGAUCCGCCACACUGGGACUGAGACACGGCCCAGACUCCUACGGGAGGCAGCAGUGGGGAAUAUUGGACAAUGGGCGGAAGCCUGAUCCAGCCAUGCCGCGUGUGUGAAGAAGGCCUUUUGGUUGUAAAGCACUUUAAGCGAGGAGGAGGCUACUUAGAUUAAUACUCUAGGAUAGUGGACGUUACUCGCAGAAUAAGCACCGGCUAACUCUGUGCCAGCAGCCGCGGUAAUACAGAGGGUGCGAGCGUUAAUCGGAUUUACUGGGCGUAAAGCGUGCGUAGGCGGCUUUUUAAGUCGGAUGUGAAAUCCCCGAGCUUAACUUGGGAAUUGCAUUCGAUACUGGGAAGCUAGAGUAUGGGAGAGGAUGGUAGAAUUCCAGGUGUAGCGGUGAAAUGCGUAGAGAUCUGGAGGAAUACCGAUGGCGAAGGCAGCCAUCUGGGCUAGUACUGACGCUGAGGUACGAAAGCAUGGGGAGCAAACAGGAUUAGAUACCCUGGUAGUCCAUGCCGUACACGAUGUCUACUAGCCGUUGGGGCCUUUGAGGCUUUAGUGGCGCAUCU